RNAcentral lists this ribosomal RNA (854 nucleotides) under uncultured bacterium. RNAcentral describes it as "SSU rRNA". It matches the Rfam family "Bacterial small subunit ribosomal RNA", at positions 524 to 1381 of the family's 1533-position model. The record is from RNAcentral.
UACGGAGGAUCCGAGCGUUAUCCGGAUUUAUUGGGUUUAAAGGGUGCGUAGGUGGUUUGAUAAGUCAGCGGUGAAAGUUUGCAGCUUAACUGUAAAAAUGCCGUUGAAACUGUCGGACUUGAGUGUAAAUGAGGUAGGCGGAAUGCGUGGUGUAGCGGUGAAAUGCAUAGAUAUCACGCAGAACUCCGAUUGCGAAGGCAGCUUACUAAGCUACAACUGACACUGAAGCACGAAAGCGUGGGGAUCAAACAGGAUUAGAUACCCUGGUAGUCCACGCAGUAAACGAUGAUUACUAGCUGUUUGCGAUACACAGUAAGCGGCACAGCGAAAGCGUUAAGUAAUCCACCUGGGGAGUACGCCGGCAACGGUGAAACUCAAAGGAAUUGACGGGGGCCCGCACAAGCGGAGGAACAUGUGGUUUAAUUCGAUGAUACGCGAGGAACCUUACCCGGGUUUGAACGUAGGGAGACAGGAGUGGAAACAUUCUAUUCAGCAAUGACUGCCUACGAGGUGCUGCAUGGUUGUCGUCAGCUCGUGCCGUGAGGUGUCGGCUUAAGUGCCAUAACGAGCGCAACCCUUAUUUCCAGUUACUAACAGGUCAAGCUGAGGACUCUGGAGAGACUGCCAGCGUAAGCUGUGAGGAAGGUGGGGAUGACGUCAAAUCAGCACGGCCCUUACAUCCGGGGCGACACACGUGUUACAAUGGUAAGGACAAAGGGCAGCUACCGGGCGACCGGAUGCGAAUCUCUAAACCUUAUCUCAGUUCGGAUCGGAGUCUGCAACUCGACUCCGUGAAGCUGGAUUCGCUAGUAAUCGCGCAUCAGCCAUGGCGCGGUGAAUACGUUCCCGGGCCU